GACUCAGGACCGUAGCUGCAACCUCGUUCAAGUAAUCCAGGAUAGGCUUUGUGGAUCUACUUCAGCCUAUCCUUGAUUACUUGCACUUGGCAGCAGCAACUAACCCACAAAGACUUCCUGAGGAG
RNAcentral lists this microRNA precursor (125 nucleotides) under Poecilia formosa (Amazon molly). Its description in RNAcentral is "miRNA (ENSPFOG00000021372.1)". The stretch from base 16 to 96 matches the Rfam family "mir-26 microRNA precursor family". From Rfam's summary of the family: The hairpin precursors (represented here) are predicted based on base pairing and cross-species conservation -- their extents are not known. In this case the mature sequence is excised from the 5' arm of the hairpin. The record is from RNAcentral. Lineage: Eukaryota; Metazoa; Chordata; Actinopteri; Cyprinodontiformes; Poeciliidae.